CUCAGGACGAACGCUGGCGGCGUGCCUAAUACAUGCAAGUAGAACGCACAGUUUAUACCGUAGCUUGCUACACCAUAGACUGUGAGUUGCGAACGGGUGAGUAACGCGUAGGUAACCUGCCUGGUAGCGGGGGAUAACUAUUGGAAACGAUAGCUAAUACCGCAUAAUAUUAAUUAUUGCAUGAUAAUUGAUUAAAAGGUGCAAUUGCACCACUACCAGAUGGACCUGCGUUGUAUUAGCUAGUAGGUGAGGUAACGGCUCACCUAGGCGACGAUACAUAGCCGACCUGAGAGGGUGAUCGGCCACACUGGGACUGAGACACGGCCCAGACUCCUACGGGAGGCAGCAGUAGGGAAUCUUCGGCAAUGGACGAAAGUCUGACCGAGCAACGCCGCGUGAGUGAAGAAGGUUUUCGGAUCGUAAAGCUCUGUUGUAAGAGAAGAACGGGUGUGAGAGUGGAAAGUUCACACUGUGACGGUAUCUUACCAGAAAGGGACGGCUAACUACGUGCCAGCAGCCGCGGUAAUACGUAGGUCCCGAGCGUUGUCCGGAUUUAUUGGGCGUAAAGCGAGCGCAGGCGGUUAGAUAAGUCUGAAGUUAAAGGCUGUGGCUUAACCAUAGUACGCUUUGGAAACUGUUUAACUUGAGUGCAGAAGGGGAGAGUGGAAUUCCAUGUGUAGCGGUGAAAUGCGUAGAUAUAUGGAGGAACACCGGUGGCGAAAGCGGCUCUCUGGUCUGUAACUGACGCUGAGGCUCGAAAGCGUGGGGAGCGAACAGGAUUAGAUACC
Molecule: ribosomal RNA, 788 nt
Filed under: uncultured Streptococcaceae bacterium
Lineage: Bacteria; Bacillati; Bacillota; Bacilli; Lactobacillales; Streptococcaceae
Description: bacterial SSU rRNA
Rfam family: Bacterial small subunit ribosomal RNA
Source: RNAcentral